AGCAGCCGCGGUAAUUCCAGCUCCAAUAGCGUAUAUUAAAGUUGUUGCAGUUAAAAAGCUCGUAGUUGAAUCUCGGGAUCAGCAGGUCGGUCGUGCCACUGGUAUGCACUGGCCUUGCUGAUUCCUCCCUCUUGAUGAGCCGUAAUGCCAUUAAUUUGGUGUUGCGGGGAAUCAGGACUGUUACUUUGAAAAAAUUUAGAGUGUUUAAAGCAGGCUGCGCUUGAAUACAUUAGCAUGGAAUAAUGAAAUAGGACGUUCGAUCCUAUUUUGUUGGUUUCUAGGAUUGACGUAAUGAUUAAUAGGGAUAGUUGGGGGCAUUAGUAUUCAAUUGUCAGGGGUGAAAUUCUUGGAUUUAUUGAAGACUAACUACUGCGAAAGCAUUUGCCAAGGAUGUUUUCAUUAAUCAAGAACGAAAGUUAGGGGAUCGAAGACGAUCAGAUACCGUCGUAGUCUUAACCAUAAACUAUGCCGACUAGGGAUCGGAUGAUGUUAAUUUUUUUAAUGACUCAUUCGGCGCCUU
RNAcentral lists this ribosomal RNA (520 nucleotides) under uncultured Glomus. RNAcentral's name for it is "SSU rRNA". It matches the Rfam family "Eukaryotic small subunit ribosomal RNA", at positions 569 to 1089 of the family's 1831-position model. The record is from RNAcentral. Lineage: Eukaryota; Fungi; Glomeromycota; Glomeromycetes; Glomerales; Glomeraceae.